GACGAAGGAUGCAAGCGUUAUCCGGAUUCAUUGGGUUUAAAGGGAGCGUAGGUGGCCUUAUAAGUCAGUGGUGAAAUCUCUCAGCUUAACUGAGAAAUUGCCAUUGAUACUGUAGGGCCUGAGUACAGAUGCCGUUGGCGGAAUAUGACAUGUAGUGGUGAAAUACAUAGAGAUGUCAUAGAACACCGAUUGCGAAGGCAGCUGACGAAACUGUAACUGACACUGAGGCUCGAGAGUGCGGGGAUCAAACAGG
RNAcentral lists this ribosomal RNA (253 nucleotides) under uncultured bacterium. Its description in RNAcentral is "partial 16S ribosomal RNA". It matches the Rfam family "Bacterial small subunit ribosomal RNA", at positions 524 to 776 of the family's 1533-position model. The record is from RNAcentral.